UACGUAGGGUGCGAGCGUUGUCCGGAAUUAUUGGGCGUAAAGAGCUCGUAGGCGGCUUGUUGCGUCGACCGUGAAAACCCGGGGCUCAACUCCGGAUCCGGUUCCCAAACUGCUAGACUCGAGCGUAUCAGAGGACAGUGGAAUUCCCGGUGUAGCGGUAAUAUGCGUAGAUAUCGGGAGGAACACCAGUGGCGAAGGCGACUGUCUGGGGUAUUGCUGACGCUGAGACACGAAAGCCAGGGGAGCGAACGGG
RNAcentral lists this ribosomal RNA (253 nucleotides) under uncultured bacterium. Its description in RNAcentral is "partial 16S ribosomal RNA". It matches the Rfam family "Bacterial small subunit ribosomal RNA", at positions 524 to 776 of the family's 1533-position model. The record is from RNAcentral.